GAUGUGAUGCCUGUAAUGGGCUCUUUGUGAUGUUAUGUUUGUAAUGUGAUUUUUUUUGUUUGCAAUGCUUGUCGUGUGACAUGUUGCGAUGUUAAUGGUGGUUAACUCUAUACUUCAUUUGCCAUUCUGUCUUUGUGGUAUAUCAGAUUAACGCUAAAGUUAAUUUAGUAAAUUAGCUUAAUUUCUUAUAAACGCUGAAGUUAAUUUAGUUAAUUAGCUUAAUUUCAGAUUAACGCUAAAAUUGCACUUGUUGUGGUUCCAGCCUUGCCUGAGAAACACAGCUUAUAUUGGUCUGUUUUGACUAAAUGUUUCUAAAAACUUUCGUUUUUGAAGGAGAGAAGAGACAUUCAUGUUGAAUUGAAUUGGAUUGAUUUUAAUUGAAUGUUGUGUUUCUGGCAAAAUGACAGUGAUGCAGGUUUUUAUUGAAGGCCUUCUUUUAUUCCUCUCUUCCAGAAUUAUAAAAAGACUGUGAAAAGAGUAUGGAAUGCUAAGCAGAGUCCAGAGAAGAGUUACGAUUCUCUGAUUGACGUCCCCAAACAUGUGGGCAACCUUAGGUUCAGAGUUUGGAAGAAAAUGCAGGACAUUUGUCCCUACACUCCAGUGACCCUUGACCCCAACACUGCUGUUCCCUUUCUGCUCGUCUCUGAUGAUCUCACCAGUGUCCGGGACAGCGGUGACGUCACUGAUGAUGCAGACGUGCGUCUCCCGGACAACCCUGAGCGCUUCACCCACUGUGGUGAGAUGCUUGGCCGUGAGGUCAUUUCCACCUCCGUGCCACAAUGCCAGCCCC
Clupea harengus (Atlantic herring) is the source of this 790-nucleotide long non-coding RNA. NCBI's taxonomy places the organism in Eukaryota, Metazoa, Chordata, Actinopteri, Clupeiformes, Clupeidae. The record is from Ensembl.